Molecule: ribosomal RNA, 573 nt
Filed under: uncultured bacterium
Lineage: Bacteria
Description: partial 16S ribosomal RNA
Rfam family: Bacterial small subunit ribosomal RNA
Source: RNAcentral
UGGGGAAUUUUGGACAAUGGGCGAAAGCCUGAUCCAGCAAUGCCGCGUGUGUGAAGAAGGCCUUCGGGUUGUAAAGCACUUUUGUCCGGAAAGAAAUCCUUGGCUCUAAUACAGUCGGGGGAUGACGGUACCGGAAGAAUAAGCACCGGCUAACUACGUGCCAGCAGCCGCGGUAAUACGUAGGGUGCAAGCGUUAAUCGGAAUUACUGGGCGUAAAGCGUGCGCAGGCGGUUUGCUAAGACCGAUGUGAAAUCCCCGGGCUCAACCUGGGAACUGCAUUGGUGACUGGCAGGCUAGAGUAUGGCAGAGGGGGGUAGAAUUCCACGUGUAGCAGUGAAAUGCGUAGAGACGUGGAGGAAUACCGAUGGCGAAGGCAGCCCCCUGGGCCAAUACUGACGCUCAUGCACGAAAGCGUGGGGAGCAAAACAGGAUUAGAUACCCUGGUAGUCCACGCCCUAAACGAUGUCAACUAGUUGUUGGGGAUUCAUUUCCUUAGUAACGUAGCUAACGCGUGAAGUUGACCGCCUGGGGAGUACGGUCGCAAGAUUAAAACUUAAAGGAAUUGACGGGGUC